AACGAACGCUGGCGGCAUGCCUAACACAUGCAAGUCGAACGAUGCCUUCGGGCAUAGUGGCGCACGGGUGCGUAACGCGUGGGAAUCUGCCUUUCGGUUCGGAAUAACUCAGGGAAACUUGAGCUAAUACCGGAUAACGUCGCAAGACCAAAGAUUUAUCACCGAAAGAUGAGCCCGCGUAGGAUUAGCUAGUUGGUGAGGUAAAGGCUCACCACGGCGACGAUCCUUAGCUGGUCUGAGAGGAUGAUCGGCCACACUGGGACUGAGACACGGCCCAGACUCCUACGGGAGGCAGCAGUGGGGAAUAUUGGACAAUGGGCGAAAGCCUGAUCCAGCAAUGCCGCGUGAGUGAUGAAGGCCUUAGGGUUGUAAAGCUCUUUUACCCGGGAAGAUAAUGACGGUACCGGGAGAAUAAGCCCCGGCUAACUCCGUG
RNAcentral lists this ribosomal RNA (433 nucleotides) under uncultured bacterium. RNAcentral describes it as "partial 16S ribosomal RNA". It matches the Rfam family "Bacterial small subunit ribosomal RNA", at positions 29 to 507 of the family's 1533-position model. The record is from RNAcentral.